UUUUUUUUUUUUUUUUUUUUUUUUUUUCGACCUCUUUGCAGACUACGCGCUAUAUCGAGUGCUGGAAACGAGCACUGUGCUCUGAGCAGC
This 90-nucleotide non-coding RNA is filed under the name Prorocentrum micans. The record is from RNAcentral. Lineage: Eukaryota; Dinophyceae; Prorocentrales; Prorocentraceae.